UAAGAUCAUAUAACAUAUAUUGAGCUUCCAUUUCGUAAAUCAUCAUUUGUUGAAUCAUCAUUGAGCUAUAAUUUGUUAUUCACUCUUAAAGAGAGUUUUAUUGUUGUGAAUUUCAUUUCUCAUCAAUUUGUGAGUGUACAAGUGUGGGAAACACUGGGGUGAAGAGAUUGGGGAUAUAAUCUCUUGUUGUAAAGGUUCAUUGACACCUUGGAAGUCAAUUGUAAACAUUUGAAGCCUUGGGAGGCUUGGAUAGUGAAAUCCUCAAGCCGGGUGAGCUUGGAGGCGUGGACGUAGGCGGGGAUAGCCGAACCACGUAAAAAUCCUUGUGUUCG
Molecule: long non-coding RNA, 332 nt
Filed under: Citrus sinensis (sweet orange)
Lineage: Eukaryota; Viridiplantae; Streptophyta; Magnoliopsida; Sapindales; Rutaceae
Description: long non-coding RNA (CSIN_LNC004592)
Source: RNAcentral